GACGAACGCUGGCGGCGUGCUUAACACAUGCAAGUCGAACGGAAAGGCCCUGCUUUUGUGGGGUGCUCGAGUGGCGAACGGGUGAGUAACACGUGAGUAACCUGCCCUUGACUUUGGGAUAACUUCAGGAAACUGGGGCUAAUACCGGAUAGGAGCUCCUGCUGCAUGGUGGGGGUUGGAAAGUUUCGGCGGUUGGGGAUGGACUCGCGGCUUAUCAGCUUGUUGGUGGGGUAGUGGCUUACCAAGGCUUUGACGGGUAGCCGGCCUGAGAGGGUGACCGGCCACAUUGGGACUGAGAUACGGCCCAGACUCCUACGGGAGGCAGCAGUGGGGUAUAUUGCACAAUGGGCGGAAGCCUGAUGCAGCAACGCCGCGUGCGGGAUGACGGCCUUCGGGUUGUAAACCGCUUUCGCCUGUGACGAAGCGUGAGUGACGGUAAUGGGUAAAGAAGCACCGGCUAACUACGUG
RNAcentral lists this ribosomal RNA (468 nucleotides) under uncultured bacterium. RNAcentral's name for it is "partial 16S ribosomal RNA". It matches the Rfam family "Bacterial small subunit ribosomal RNA", at positions 28 to 507 of the family's 1533-position model. The record is from RNAcentral.